This 497-nucleotide ribosomal RNA is filed under the name uncultured bacterium. RNAcentral describes it as "partial 16S ribosomal RNA". It matches the Rfam family "Bacterial small subunit ribosomal RNA", at positions 28 to 507 of the family's 1533-position model. The record is from RNAcentral.
GAUGAACGCUGGCGGCGUGCCUAAUACAUGCAAGUAGAACGCUGAAGGAAGGAGCUUGCUCUUUCCGGAUGAGUUGCGAACGGGUGAGUAACGCGUAGGUAACCUGCCUGGUAGCGGGGGAUAACUAUUGGAAACGAUAGCUAAUACCGCAUAACAGUAGAUGUUGCAUGAUAUCUACUUAAAAGGUGCAAUUGCACCACUACCAGAUGGACCUGCGUUGUAUUAGCUAGUUGGUGAGGUAACGGCUCACCAAGGCGACGAUACAUAGCCGACCUGAGAGGGUGAUCGGCCACACUGGUACUGAGACACGGCCCAGACUCCUACGGGAGGCAGCAGUAGGGAAUCUUCGGCAAUGGACGGAAGUCUGACCGAGCAACGCCGCGUGAGUGAAGAAGGUUUUCGGAUCGUAAAGCUCUGUUGUAAGAGAAGAACGAGUGUGAGAGUGGAAAGUUCACACUGUGACGGUAUCUUACCAGAAAGGGACGGCUAACUACGUG